Molecule: ribosomal RNA, 1234 nt
Filed under: metagenome
Description: bacterial LSU rRNA
Rfam family: Bacterial large subunit ribosomal RNA
Source: RNAcentral
UGAGUACGAGAUGCUACGGCAUCGAAGCAGUCUAUGUCAUACUUCCAAGAAAAGCUUGCACUGUCAGAAACAGAUAAUGCCUGUACCAUAACCGACACAGGUGGGUAGGUAGAGUAUACUAAGGGGCGCGAGAUAACUCUCUCUAAGGAACUCGGCAAAAUGACUCCGUAACUUCGGGAGAAGGAGUGCCUUAUUUUUAAGGUUUCAAUAACAAGAUCCAAGCAACUGUUUACCAAAAACACAGGUCUCCGCUAAGUCGUAAGACGAUGUAUGGGGGCUGACGCCUGCCCAGUGCCAGAAGGUUAAAGAAGUCGGUUAGCAUUCGCGAAGCUGGUAACUGAAGCCCUGGUGAACGGCGGCCGUAACGAUAACGGUCCUAAGGUAGCGAAAUUCCUUGUCGGGUAAGUUCCGACCCGCACGAAAGGCGUAAUGAUUUGGAUACUGUCUCGGAGAGGGGCUCGGUGAAAUAGACUUGUCUGUGAAGAUGCGGACUACCUGCACCUGGACAGAAAGACCCUAUGAAGCUUUACUGUAACUUGAAAUUGAAAUUGGACUUUAUUUGCGCAGUAUAGGUGGGAGGCGUUGAAAAUAUUCUUGCGGGAAUAUUGGAGCCAUCAGUGAGAUACCACUCUUGUAAUGUUAGAUUUCUAACUUUAUAUCAUUAUCUGGUUAAAGAACAGUUUCAGGCGGGCAGUUUGACUGGGGCGGUCGCCUCCCAAAUGGUAACGGAGGCGCACAAAGGUUUCCUCUGAACGGGUAGAAAUCGUAUCUAGAGUGUAAAGGCAUAAGGAAGCUUGACUGUGAGACCUACAAGUCGAGCAGGGACGAAAGUCGGUCUUAGUGAUCUGACGGUGCUGAGUGGAAAGGCCGUCACUCAACGGAUAAAAGUUACUCUAGGAUAACAGGCUGAUCUCCCCCAAGAGUUCACAUCGACGGGGAGGUUUGGCACCUCGAUGUCGGCUCAUCGCAUCCUGGGGCGGUAGUACGUCCCAAGGGUUGGGCUGUUCGCCCAUGAUAGCGGUACGCGAGCUGGGUUCAGAACGUCGUGAGACAGUUCGGUCCAUAUCCGGUGUAGGCGUUAGAAUAUUGAGAGGAGCCUUCUUUAGUACGAGAGGACCGAGAAGGACAUACCUCUGGUGUACCAGUUAUCGUGCCAACGGUAAACGCUGGGUAGCUAUGUAUGGAGUGGAUAACCGCUGAAAGCAUCUAAGUGGGAAGCCCACCUCAAGAUAAG